RNAcentral lists this ribosomal RNA (1344 nucleotides) under uncultured bacterium. Its description in RNAcentral is "bacterial SSU rRNA". It matches the Rfam family "Bacterial small subunit ribosomal RNA", at positions 28 to 1381 of the family's 1533-position model. The record is from RNAcentral.
GAUGAACGCUAGCGGCAGGCCUAACACAUGCAAGUCGAGGGAGAAGUAUUUUCGGAUACAGAAACCGGCGCACGGGUGCGUAACGCGUAUAUAAUCUACCUUAUACAGAGGGAUAGCCCGAAGAAAUUUGGAUUAAUACCUCAUAGUAUUAUUGAUUGGCAUCGAUUAAUAAUUAAAGCUGAGGCGGUAUAAGAUGAGUAUGCGUCCUAUUAGCUAGUUGGUAUGGUAACGGCAUACCAAGGCUACGAUAGGUAGGGGUCCUGAGAGGGAGAUCCCCCACACUGGUACUGAGACACGGACCAGACUCCUACGGGAGGCAGCAGUGGGGAAUAUUGGUCAAUGGUCGGAAGACUGAACCAGCCAUGCCGCGUGCAGGAAGACGGCCUUAUGGGUUGUAAACUGCUUUUGUAAGGGAAGAAUAAGUCGUAUGUAUACGGCGAUGACGGUACUUUACGAAUAAGCAUCGGCUAACUCCGUGCCAGCAGCCGCGGUAAUACGGAGGAUGCGAGCGUUAUCCGGAAUCAUUGGGUUUAAAGGGUCUGUAGGCGGGUUAUUAAGUCAAGGGUGAAAGUUUGUUGCUUAACGAUAAAGUUGCCUUUGAUACUGGUAGCCUUGAACUUUUGUGAAGUUGCUGGAAUGAGUAGUGUAGCGGUGAAAUGCAUAGAUAUUACACAGAACACCGAUUGCGAAGGCAUGUGACUAACAAAGGAUUGACGCUGAGAGACGAAAGCGUGGGGAGCGAACAGGAUUAGAUACCCUGGUAGUCCACGCUGUAAACGAUGGAUACUAGCUGUUUGGAGCGAUCUGAGUGGCUAAGCGAAAGUGAUAAGUAUCCCACCUGGGGAGUACGCACGCAAGUGUGAAGCUCAAAGGAAUUGACGGGGGCCCGCACAAGCGGUGGAGCAUGUGGUUUAAUUCGAUGGUACGCGAGGAACCUUACCAAGGUUUAAAUGUACUACGCAUAAUUUAGAGAUAGAUUAGUCUUCGGACGGAGUACAAGGUGCUGCAUGGUUGUCGUCAGCUCGUGCCGUGAGGUGUCAGGUUAAGUCCUAUAACGAGCGCAACCCCUAUUGUUAGUUACCAUCAAGUAAAGUUGGGGACUCUAGCAAGACUGCCGGUGCAAACCGUGAGGAAGGUGAGGAUGACGUCAAAUCAUCACGGCCCUUACAUCUUGGGCUACACACGUGCUACAAUGGUCGUUACAGAGAGCAGCCACUGCGUGAGCAGGAGCGAAUCUAUAAAGACGGUCACAGUUCGGAUCGGAGUCUGCGACUCGACUCCGUGAAGCAGGAAUCGCUAGUAAUCGGAUAUCAGCCAUGAUCCGGUGAAUACGUUCCCGGGCCU